ACCCAUUUCAGUUAUCUCACUAUCAGUCACUCUUUUGGUCUUCGAAAUCAAAACCCUAGAAACAAAAUCUGAUUCAAAAUACUCUGUGUCCCUUCUGCUAUCACUAUUGCUCCUCUCUCCGAACAAAGGGUUUGAUUAUGGGGAGAUUUAACGAUCUACCCAAAGAGAUAAUGCUCGAAAUUUUAAGUCGUUUGCCAAUUGAGUCUGUUUUAGACUGCAAAUUGGUUUGCAAACCUUGGAAAAAUGUUGUUCAUCACUCAUCCUUCUCCCAAAUGCACCUAAAUCAGCUUAAUUCUGCUGAACUGUACAAGUAUGGAGGCCAUAAUGAAGUGGAAACGGGAAGCACAACCAUAGACUUGGCGAAGUUAAUACCAAUGAAGUAAUACAGCAGUCAUCUCAUCUAAAAAUCAAGUGGUUUUGGCUAAGAAGCGUUUAUUGAAUUGGGACAGCUAAGUGGCUUCUACGCCGACUGGAUUGAGCCACGUUCACCUACCAAUGUUGAGAGCUGAGUUUUACUUCCGGUCCCAUCGAUUUGUGUUGUUUGUUAUAGUUUUUCUUUCUUCAUUUCCUGCAAUUAUAGAAGGCUAGAAAUUUUCAGUGCAGUUUAGUAUAAGCUGGAUAUAUUGAAACCAGGUAUGUUGCUUAUUACCAUUGUUGAUAUGCGGAUAGCUAAAAACUAAGGGCAAAGAUAGUAACUAUGUGAGUUUUGGUUUUGGAGAUCUUGAUGAAGGAAAUUAUUUGUCAGAA
Long non-coding RNA from Papaver somniferum (opium poppy), 747 nucleotides. RefSeq lists it as uncharacterized. The transcript is spliced from 2 exons. Lineage: Eukaryota; Viridiplantae; Streptophyta; Magnoliopsida; Ranunculales; Papaveraceae. The record is from RefSeq and is a predicted model, not a curated record.